GACGAACGCUGGCGGCGUGCUUAACACAUGCAAGUCGAACGAUGAAGCCGGAGCUUGCUCCGGUGGAUUAGUGGCGAACGGGUGAGUAACACGUGAGCAAUCUGCCCUUGACUCUGGGAUAACUGCGGGAAACUGUAGCUAAUACCGGAUACGACACCUUGGGGCAUCCCAGGGUGUGGAAAGAAUUUCGGUCAAGGAUGAGCUCGCGGCCUAUCAGCUAGUUGGUGAGGUAAUGGCUCACCAAGGCGACGACGGGUAGCCGGCCUGAGAGGGUGGACGGCCACACUGGAACUGAGACACGGUCCAGACUCCUACGGGAGGCAGCAGUGGGGAAUAUUGCUCAAUGGGCGAAAGCCUGAUGCAGCAACGCCGCGUGAGGGAUGAAGGCCUUCGGGUUGUAAACCUCUUUUAGCAGGGAAGAAGCGAAAGUGACGGUACCUGCAGAAAAAGCACCGGCUAACUACGUGCCAGCCGCCGCCGUAA
This 483-nucleotide ribosomal RNA is filed under the name uncultured bacterium. Its description in RNAcentral is "partial 16S ribosomal RNA". It matches the Rfam family "Bacterial small subunit ribosomal RNA", at positions 28 to 523 of the family's 1533-position model. The record is from RNAcentral.